CAGCACAGCACCAGGAGAGAGAACCCGACAAGAACCGGAGAAGAAGUUGAACAUCAAUUUCAUCUGAAUUUCGCCGAGCCCUAAUUGAAAUUCCAGUUUUCUGUGAAUCCUCCCUUCAUUGCUGAGAAUGAGUGGCCGCUUUUCACGCUCAAUCUACGUUGGCAACCUACCAGCAGAUAUAAAGGAACUGGAAGUUGAAGAUCUGUUCUACAAGUAUGGUCGUAUAUUGGACAUUGAGUUGAAGAUUCCACCUCGCCCUCCUUGCUACUGUUUUGUGGAGUUUGAAAGUUCUCGAGAUGCUGAAGAUGCCAUCAGGGGUAGGGAUGGCUACAACUUUGAUGGCUGUAGGCUGAGGGUUGAGCUUGCUCAUGGAGGAAGAGGGCCAUCAUCUUCAAGUGAUCGCAGAGGCAGUUAUGGCAGCGGUGGCGGUGGAGGUGGAGGGCGCCAUGGCAUUUCUCGGCAUUCUGAUUACCGAGUUAUUAUUCGAGGUCUUCCAUCUUCUGCUUCUUGGCAAGAUUUGAAGGAUCAUAU
RNAcentral lists this unclassified non-coding RNA (531 nucleotides) under Hevea brasiliensis (rubber tree). The record is from RNAcentral. Lineage: Eukaryota; Viridiplantae; Streptophyta; Magnoliopsida; Malpighiales; Euphorbiaceae.